AGUUAUUCAAUGAAAGCGCUUAAAAAUUUAAGGGGUGAUCAAUGAUGGGUACGAUCGUAUGUAAAGAUUGUCAGGGGAUUAUUGAGCAUUUCGAGUAUGAGAAAGUAACAACUCUUUAUGGCGUUUGCGGUUGCAGUCAACAUGAGGAAGAAGAAUAAAUCGGUU
RNAcentral lists this small RNA (165 nucleotides) under Pontibacillus halophilus JSM 076056 = DSM 19796. RNAcentral describes it as "SR1 sRNA". It matches the Rfam family "SR1 sRNA". Lineage: Bacteria; Bacillati; Bacillota; Bacilli; Caryophanales; Bacillaceae. The record is from Rfam by way of RNAcentral.